AGUGAACGCUGGCGGUAGGCCUAACACAUGCAAGUCGAACGGCAGCACAGUAAGAGCUUGCUCUUACGGGUGGCGAGUGGCGGACGGGUGAGGAAUACAUCGGAAUCUACUUUUUCGUGGGGGAUAACGUAGGGAAACUUACGCUAAUACCGCAUACGACCUACGGGUGAAAGCAGUGGAUCUUCUGACCUUGCGCGAUUGAAUGAGCCGAUGUCGGAUUAGCUAGUUGGCGGGGUAAAUGCCCACCAAGGCGACGAUCCGUAGCUGGUCUGAGAGGAUGAUCAGCCACACUGGAGCUGAGACACGGUCCAGACUCCUACGGGAGGCAGCAGUGGGGAAUAUUGGACAAAGGGCGCAAGCCUGAUCCAGCCAUACCGCGUGGGUGAAGAAGGCCUUCGGGUUGUAAAGCCCUUUUGUUGGGAAAGAAAAGCAGCAGGUUAAUACCCCGCUGUUCUGACGGUACCCAAAGAAUAAGCACCGGCUAACUUCGUG
This 492-nucleotide ribosomal RNA is filed under the name uncultured bacterium. RNAcentral's name for it is "partial 16S ribosomal RNA". It matches the Rfam family "Bacterial small subunit ribosomal RNA", at positions 29 to 507 of the family's 1533-position model. The record is from RNAcentral.